RNAcentral lists this transfer RNA (68 nucleotides) under Marmota monax (woodchuck). RNAcentral describes it as "tRNA.Ala". The stretch from base 7 to 63 matches the Rfam family "tRNA", at positions 8 to 63 of the family's 71-position model. Rfam says of the family: Transfer RNA (tRNA) molecules are approximately 80 nucleotides in length. Their secondary structure includes four short double-helical elements and three loops (D, anti-codon, and T loops). The record is from RNAcentral. Lineage: Eukaryota; Metazoa; Chordata; Mammalia; Rodentia; Sciuridae.
GGAGUGUGGCUCAAUGGUAGAGCGCUGGGCUGGCAGACCUGAGGCACUGGGUUCAGUCCCCAGGACCA